UACGGGGGGGGCAAGCGUUGUUCGGAAUUACUGGGCGUAAAGGGCUCGUAGGUGGCCAACUAAGUCGGACGUGAAAUCCCUCAGCUUAACUUGGGAACUGCGUCUGAUACUGGGAGGCUUGAGUGCGGGAGAGGGAUGUGGAAUUCCAGGUGUAGCGGUGAAAUGCGUAGAUAUCUGGAGGAACACCGGUGGCGAAGGCGGCAUCCUGGACCGACACUGACGCUGAGGCGCGAAAGCUAGGGGAGCAAACGGG
RNAcentral lists this ribosomal RNA (253 nucleotides) under uncultured bacterium. RNAcentral's name for it is "partial 16S ribosomal RNA". It matches the Rfam family "Bacterial small subunit ribosomal RNA", at positions 524 to 776 of the family's 1533-position model. The record is from RNAcentral.